Molecule: long non-coding RNA, 482 nt
Filed under: Sus scrofa (pig)
Lineage: Eukaryota; Metazoa; Chordata; Mammalia; Artiodactyla; Suidae
Description: lncRNA (ENSSSCG00030045523.1)
Source: RNAcentral
CUUCUGUUUUUCUGAGUAGAAAAUGGCACUUUGCACUUUCCUCAUUUUUUUCUCUAGAUGAUUAGGUUGAGAGAAUGAAAGGAUACCAUUUUAACCCAAUAUCCUGCCAGCGGCUGCUAAGAAGGAUACCAAUUAAUUCUAAUUGUAGUGGCAGCUUUUAGGAUGUUGACUCUUCUUUAUUAAGAUUAUAACCAGGAACUCAGUGCACAUAGGUCACAAUGUAGCUGUCAAAUGGCAGCAACUUCAAUCAAUACCCACCUGGAUUGGAUGCAACCUGAUGACCUAGAGAUUUUUUUAGAAGAAUGGAUUCAUUUUCAAGCAUCCUUCAAGUUUUCUUUCAGUUUCAUGUCAGACUGCUGUUUUACUCUGCAGCCUCUAUUAGACUGACCCCCGUAUUGCAUAGAAAUGGCUUAAAAUUCUCAACUGACAGAACCUGUAAAUGGCCAGAUGGGGUCAUCUGUGACAUAUUUUAGAUUCCACAU